RNAcentral lists this ribosomal RNA (433 nucleotides) under uncultured bacterium. RNAcentral describes it as "partial 16S ribosomal RNA". It matches the Rfam family "Bacterial small subunit ribosomal RNA", at positions 29 to 507 of the family's 1533-position model. The record is from RNAcentral.
AACGAACGCUGGCGGCAUGCCUAACACAUGCAAGUCGAACGAGACCUUCGGGUCUAGUGGCGCACGGGUGCGUAACGCCUGGGAACCUGCACUUAGGUUCGGAAUAACUCCCCGAAAGGGGUGCUAAUACCGGAUAAUGUCUUCGGACCAAAGAUUUAUCGCCUUUGGAUGGGCCCGCGUUGGAUUAGCUAGUUGGUAGGGUAAAAGCCUACCAAGGCGACGAUCCAUAGCUGGUCUGAGAGGAUGAGCAGCCACACUGGGACUAAGACACGGCCCAGACUCCUACGCGAGGCAGCAGUGGGGAAUAUUGUGCAAUGGGCGAAAGCCUGAUCCAGCAAUGUCGGGUGAGUGAUGAAGGCCUUAGGGUUGUAAAGCUCUUUUACCCGGGAUGAUAAUGACAGUACCGGGAGAAUAAGCUCCGGCUAACUCCGUG